RNAcentral lists this ribosomal RNA (346 nucleotides) under uncultured bacterium. Its description in RNAcentral is "partial 16S ribosomal RNA". It matches the Rfam family "Bacterial small subunit ribosomal RNA", at positions 338 to 682 of the family's 1533-position model. The record is from RNAcentral.
CCUACGGGGGGCAGCAGUGAGGAAUAUUGGUCAAUGGGCGCGAGCCUGAACCAGCCAAGUCGCGUGAGGGAAGACGGUCCUAUGGAUUGUAAACCUCUUGUGUCGGGGAGCAAAAGACGCCACGCGUGGCGUUCCGAGAGUACCCGAAGAAAAAGCAUCGGCUAACUCCGUGCCAGCAGCCGCGGUAAUACGGAGGAUGCGAGCGUUAUCCGGAUUUCUUGGGUUGAAAGGGUGCGCAGGCGGAAGAGCAAGUCAGCGGUAAAAUUGAGAGGCUCAACCUCUUCGAGCCGUUGAAACUGGUUUUCUUGAGUGAGUGUGCCGUAUGCGGACUGCGUGGUGUAGCGGU